This 121-nucleotide non-coding RNA is filed under the name Pseudothermotoga lettingae. RNAcentral's name for it is "Thermotoga lettingae MoCo sequence". It matches the Rfam family "Molybdenum/Tungsten riboswitch aptamer (Moco RNA motif)". RNAcentral also lists the same sequence under 1 other name. The record is from RNAcentral. Lineage: Bacteria; Thermotogati; Thermotogota; Thermotogae; Thermotogales; Thermotogaceae.
UAAUUUGAAAACCUCCGAGCCUGGUUUUCUAAGGGCUCAUGCCUAUGAAUCCAGGCCGAUAGGGUCAAGAGGGAAACUUCUUGGCCUCCCGUGUUUGGAAAGGAGGGAUGGUUGUGUUGCU